GAUGAACGCUGGCGGCGUGCCUAAUACAUGCAAGUCGAGCGAACAGACGAGGAGCUUGCUCCUCUGACGUUAGCGGCGGACGGGUGAGUAACACGUGGAUAACCUACCUAUAAGACUGGGAUAACUUUGGGAAACCGGAGCUAAUACCGGAUAAUAUAUUGAACCGCAUGGUUCAAUAGUGAAGGACGGUUUUGCUGUCACUUAUAGAUGGAUCCGCGCCGCAUUAGCUAGUUGGUAAGGUAACGGCUUACCAAGGCAACGAUGCGUAGCCGACCUGAGAGGGUGAUCGGCCACACUGGAACUGAGACACGGUCCAGACUCCUACGGGGGGCAGCAGUAGGGAAUCUUCCGCAAUGGGCGAAAGCUGGACGGAGCAACGCCGCGUGAGUGAUGAAGGUCUUCGGAUCGUAAAACUCUGUUAUUAGGGAAGAACAAAUGUGUAAGUAACUAUGCACGUCUUGACGGUACCUAAUCAGAAAGCCACGGCUAACUACG
Molecule: ribosomal RNA, 495 nt
Filed under: uncultured bacterium
Lineage: Bacteria
Description: partial 16S ribosomal RNA
Rfam family: Bacterial small subunit ribosomal RNA
Source: RNAcentral